GGGUAGGGGAGGCGCUGGCAGCAUCCGGGGACCAUAACGGGUACAGGAGGUGCGCAGUCCCCGCCACGGUGCAGAGCUGCGUCCUCCGCUGGGACCAGGCCCGCAGCCCCUCCCGCCCCCAGCAUCUGAGCUCUGCCCCGGGGCUCCCAGCCCCCACCCCAUCGGAGAACCCAGGCCUGGGGGCACUGAGAGGGGAUCCUGGAGAAGCAGAGCUCCGUCCAGUGGGGUGACGGCUUUCGGUGAGCACGCUUCGUGUGGAGAGAGCCGGGCUCUGAUGGCGACAGAGGUGGCCCCAGAGAGGCUCCCAUGCACCUUCAGCCUCAGCGCUGAAGACUGACUCUGCCCAAGAGCGGCUCUUCCCUGCACAUCCGAGCAUCGCACGAGGCCUGACGGGUUCCUGGCGUCAACCUGUGGCUCCGUGGGGCGGGAGUCUGGACCUUCCUGCUGAGUUACAGACAGACACGGCCACCUUCGGUGGGGGGAAGGUCUUGGAAGGAAAGAUAGAGCCCCACGCACAAGGGGAAGGGGUCCCAGCCCAAGCCUGGUCCAGAAAGGUCUGAUUUGGAACCUGACUUAGCCACCACGUCUCCUCGGGCAGCUUACCUCUUUGGAAUCUUAGGUUCCUAUCUUCAAAAUAAUUAUAAUACCUUGGCAGGUGCAUCUGGGGAUUGAAUGAAAAGGUGAGUGGAA
Molecule: long non-coding RNA, 690 nt
Organism: Phacochoerus africanus (Common warthog)
Lineage: Eukaryota; Metazoa; Chordata; Mammalia; Artiodactyla; Suidae
Exons: 2
Source: RefSeq, a predicted model, not a curated record